This is a non-coding RNA of Chlorocebus sabaeus (green monkey), 1897 nucleotides long. NCBI's taxonomy places the organism in Eukaryota, Metazoa, Chordata, Mammalia, Primates, Cercopithecidae. The record is from RefSeq and is a predicted model, not a curated record.
UUAGUAGAGACGGGGUUUCACCAUGUUAGCCAGGAUAGUCUCGAUCUCCUGACCUCAGGUGAUCCACCUGCCUCGGCCUCCCAAAGUCCUAGGAUUACAGACAUGAGCAACCGCGAUAUGUUGUUAUUAAUUAAAGUUUAUAGUUUACAUUAGGGCUCACUCCUGGUAUUGUACAUGCUGUGGGUUUGGGCAAAUGUAUCAUGGCAGGCAUCUACCAUUAUAGCAACAUACAGAAUAACUUCACUGCUCUAAAAUUCCCCAGUGCUUCACCGAUUCAUCCCUCCCUUCCCCAACCCCCAACCCCUGGCAGUCACUGAUCUUUUCAUUAUCUUCAUAGUUUAGCUUUUUCCUGAAUGUCAUAUAGCUGGAAUCAUAAAUAUGUGGCUUUUUCCAUAGUUUGCUGUUUCUUAAGACAGAUUUCAUCUGCUGGCUAACAGCUGGGAGGAUUGUAGGGCCACCUCUGAGCAGGAGGACGGAUGCUUCGCAAACCUGAAUGGGCACGGGAAUCCCUGGAUCUUGGGAAUAUGCAGGUUCUGAUUGGGUAAAUGCAGCUUUCAUCAAUAGCUCUUCCAGCUUCCUGCUGCUCUUCCAUCUUUCAGAAAAAGGAGAAUUUUGAGCAGGGAAUAAUGGAAGGUAAAAGAUCAGCAAAGAGAAGAAAGGAAGGUAGCCGCUAUGGGGAGACUCUCAAGAACCAUUGUUCAGAAGCAAGGCUAAGAAGAUGUUUCAGGCCUGAAACAGGGGAGAUACUACAUCGAGCCAUGAAGAAGGAGGAGCAGGCUGGGGGCAUACUUAAGGCAGGGGCUUUUCUGAUUGGUCAGGGGUCCAGGCUUAUUUCUGUGGGCUUCACAGGGCACUGGGGUUCAGCCACAGGCAUGGGCUGAACAUCUGGAAGCUGGAGAGCAUAGUGCUUGCCCAGACAGGAGGCAGGAUGGAGGAGCGGAGAGCAGGGUUCCUGACCACAAGAGGCAUCUCCGGACCAACAAGCAGGAGAGGGCACUGGGACACCAGCAAGGCACAGGUCUAGAGGGGCUCAGGAGCAAAUCCUGGAAAGGCGUGAAUGACCCAGUGCAAUGGACUAAAUGUGUAUGUCCCCCAUAAAGUGCAUAUGUUGAAAUCCUCACCCCCAAGGUGAUGGUAUUAGGAGUUGGGGCCUCUGGGAGGUGAUUAGGUCAGGAGAGUGGAGCAUUCAUGAAUGGGAUUAGUGCCCUUCUAAAAGAGGCCCCAGAGAAACCCCUCAUCUCUCCCACUAUAUGAGAGAACUUUGAGAAGCCACCAUCUAUGGUCUAGGAAGCCAGCCCUGUCCAGACACCAAAUCUGUCAGAGUACCUUGAUCUUGGGCUUCUCAGCCUCCAGAAUGGCAAGAAACAAACUUCUGGGUAAUUUAAAUUACCCAGUCUAUGGUAUUUUGUUAUAGCGGCCCAAACAGACUGAGAUACCCAGAGACAGAAGGGAGAAAGGACAAAGCAGAAACCAAACUAGGCUGAUCCAUUCCAGCAUCUGGAAACUUCCUUCUUGACACAGCCUCCUCAGGGGUCUGCGGGGUAGCAGCCGGCUAAAGGGGGACGGCAGAGAGCAGCUGGUGCUAGGAAAAUCCAGGCAUCUCUGUCAGGCAGAUGCGUUUCAGCUGCGGGAGCCACUGUUUCCAGGUAGCCUCAGACAUUUCUAACAACCAAAAGAAAUGUUCACUUUAAAAAGUUGGUUCCCUUGGCACCGUUAUGGCUUCCCAGGAGAGAGUUUGGCUUGUUAUCACUUAUGUCUGUGUUUGCACAUCUUGCUAAUAGUGCCUUAUGAUAUGCUCUUGAAGAUCAAUUCAGUAUUUACUAUUGUUUCUAAGUCCGUGUUACAGGAAAUCAAUAAAUCAAACAAAUCCCUUGCCACAGCAGACCAAGAGUUUAAA